UAAUAAACUAAAUAUAAGUCGAAUAAUAAAAACCACCGUUCUAAACUCAAAAAAUUUGGCGGUAUCUUAUAUAAUUAGGGGAACCUGUUUCUUAAUAUGAUACUCCACAAUAUAAUCUUCCUUCUAAUGUUUUCAGCCUGUGUACUGCUGUCAUAAAUAAACCUAUAAAAGAUAGAUUAUAAAUCUACUAAAUAAAUAUGUCAAGUCUAAGUGCAGCUUAUAAGAAGGAGACCAAUGGGUUACAAUCUAUAACAAGACAAAUUGUAUUAAAUACAUAAUACAUAAUAAUGGACUUAAUAGUAAUAUACUGCAAUCAAUAUAUAAAACAUUUCCUAAGAUGUGCACACAUCGCCCGUCACUCUUGUCAAAAGACA
RNAcentral lists this ribosomal RNA (374 nucleotides) under Achaeta camerani. RNAcentral describes it as "partial 12S ribosomal RNA". The record is from RNAcentral. Lineage: Eukaryota; Metazoa; Annelida; Clitellata; Enchytraeida; Enchytraeidae.